RNAcentral lists this ribosomal RNA (253 nucleotides) under uncultured bacterium. RNAcentral's name for it is "partial 16S ribosomal RNA". It matches the Rfam family "Bacterial small subunit ribosomal RNA", at positions 524 to 776 of the family's 1533-position model. The record is from RNAcentral.
UACGGAGGGUGCAAGCGUUGCUCGGAAUUAUUGGGCGUAAAGGGUAGGUAGGUGGUCUCAUUUGUCUGGGGUGAAAGCCUUGAGCUUAACUCGAGAAGUGCCCCAGAAACGGUGAGACUGGAGUCCUGGAGAGGGUCGUGGAAUUCCCGGUGUAGCGGUGAAAUGCGUAGAGAUCGGGAGGAACACCAGAGGCGAAGGCGGCGACCUGGACAGGCACUGACGCUGGGGCGCGAAAGCUAGGGGAGCAAACAGG